Molecule: ribosomal RNA, 253 nt
Filed under: uncultured bacterium
Lineage: Bacteria
Description: partial 16S ribosomal RNA
Rfam family: Bacterial small subunit ribosomal RNA
Source: RNAcentral
UACGAAGGGGGCUAGCGUUGUUCGGAAUUACUGGGCGUAAAGGGCGCGUAGGCGGUCGUGCGAGUCAGGCGUGAAAGCCCUGGGCUCAACCCAGGAGGUGCGCUUGAUACUGCAUGACUAGAGUGUCGGAGAGGAUGGUGGAAUUCCCAGUGUAGAGGUGAAAUUCGUAGAUAUUGGGAAGAACACCGGUGGCGAAGGCGACCAUCUGGACGACAACUGACGCUGAGGCGCGAAAGCGUGGGGAGCAAACAGG